Prionailurus viverrinus (fishing cat) is the source of this 1416-nucleotide long non-coding RNA. RefSeq lists it as uncharacterized. The transcript is spliced from 3 exons. Lineage: Eukaryota; Metazoa; Chordata; Mammalia; Carnivora; Felidae. The record is from RefSeq and is a predicted model, not a curated record.
AGAAUGCUUUAAUUUAUUCUAAAUUGAAAUAAAAACAGCUAGAAAUUCUAGAUUGGAAAAAAAAAAAACGCCAAAGGAUAGAGUGAAACGCAUAAAGUAACUUUUAAAAAUGUAUGGAUGUAAAUGCAAGAGUUCUGCACUGAGCAGAACCCUUCUUUCCUAAGUUUAAGACAAUAUGAGUAUAAUUUACCCCUUAGUAACAGUUUUCAUUCUAUGUGUGUGAAGAGGAGUAACCUUCUGAUGACAGCAGGCUGAAUGGGAUCCUAACUGGGAAUAACAUCAAUUUAACUUCAUUAAGAAUGGGGAGAAGAGCUAGAUUGUUUAAGUUGUGUCUAAAACAUUCUAUUCAGAAUAAAAAAAACGAUCCUUACACCUGGAGGAAGAUUAAAAGCCAAGCCACAGGGUCAAGCCAUUCCCAGGGAGCCAAUGGAAAGAGUGGAAAAUUCCAGGCACGUACGGUACAAGUUCCUUCCUUGCCCACAGAUUUCACUUACCAAUCGUAGUUUUCCCUUCAGAUGAGCCCCAGUCUGAGCCUCGUCUCAAACCAUUCUCUAGGCAGCCACCAUCAGUUCUCCACCGGCUGGGCCCCCGGAGGCAGAAAGCCAAUGCGUGAUCUCACCACCACACACACCACAGCGACACUUCCCAGCCCAGGAAGAGGUCACGGCAGCAUCGUUUUCUUCCCAGGUUAUGAAGGACUUGUUUGCCGUGUACUUAAUUCUACCCCUGAAAGCAAGACUUGUGGGCUGCGAAAGAAAGACUAAUGCCAUCCCUGCAGAUUACUUGAAAAACAGAAACGACCCUGAGAUCACUCAGAGUUAAGAAGGUUCUCCUAACAGACCCAUAGCUGGUCCCUGAGAACAAAGAAAUCUAAGACUUAACAACACAACGGCCUCGUUGAAAUUUUACCCCUAGCGCAUCUGCUCGGCAGGCUCCUGGGUGCAGGCUCCUGGCUGGGGAAGGGUCGGACCUGUAGAAGCGCACGUGAAAGGACCCGGAUGGUUCCAUGAGCGGUUCAAGGUCCCGGGCAGGAGAUGGGCCCCGUGCCGCUUCAUGGAGGAAUGCUGGUGGGCCUCAACUUCCAGCAUGAACACGACCUGUGAACACGUGUACAAGACUGGACUUUUACGUUUCCAGUAAGAGCUGUUUGUGAGAAGUCUGUACCGACGGGUUGAUAUUAAGAGCAAAAAGGACACAGUGCCCAUGAACAUCUUGGUCACAAUUGUGUAAAUACUAGACAAUACUGGGAAACUAUAUAUUGACACUUUUGCCCUGGUUAGCUUUCAAUAAUGAAAUUGCAGGUAACGUUUUCCUCUCUCUACUUCGGUCUUUUUUCUACAUUUUUAAGGAAAAUAAGCAGCAUGUACAGGAACGUUGUACUUUUUGAAACAUAACUGUAUCCUUCAAUUUAAAACA